GGUUAAGCGACUAAGCGUACACGGUGGAUGCCCUGGCAGUCAGAGGCGAUGAAGGACGUGCUAAUCUGCGAUAAGCGUCGGUAAGGUGAUAUGAACCGUUAUAACCGGCGAUUUCCGAAUGGGGAAACCCAGUGUGUUUCGACACACUAUCAUUAACUGAAUCCAUAGGUUAAUGAGGCGAACCGGGGGAACUGAAACAUCUAAGUACCCCGAGGAAAAGAAAUCAACCGAGAUUCCCCCAGUAGCGGCGAGCGAACGGGGAGCAGCCCAGAGCCUGAAUCAGUGUGUGUGUUAGUGGAAGCGUCUGGAAAGGCGUGCGAUACAGGGUGACAGCCCCGUACACAAAAAUGCACAUACUGUGAGCUCGAUGAGUAGGGCGGGACACGUGGUAUCCUGUCUGAAUAUGGGGGGACCAUCCUCCAAGGCUAAAUACUCCUGACUGACCGAUAGUGAACCAGUACCGUGAGGGAAAGGCGAAAAGAACCCCGGCGAGGGGAGUGAAAAAGAACCUGAAACCGUGUACGUACAAGCAGUGGGAGCCUCUUAAUGGGGUGACUGCGUACCUUUUGUAUAAUGGGUCAGCGACUUAUAUUCUGUAGCAAGGUUAACCGAAUAGGGGAGCCGAAGGGAAACCGAGUCUUAACUGGGCGUUAAGUUGCAGGGUAUAGACCCGAAACCCGGUGAUCUAGCCAUGGGCAGGUUGAAGGUUGGGUAACACUAACUGGAGGACCGAACCGACUAAUGUUGAAAAAUUAGCGGAUGACUUGUGGCUGGGGGUGAAAGGCCAAUCAAACCGGGAGAUAGCUGGUUCUCCCCGAAAGCUAUUUAGGUAGCGCCUCGUGAAUUCAUCUCCGGGGGUAGAGCACUGUUUCGGCAAGGGGGUCAUCCCGACUUACCAACCCGAUGCAAACUGCGAAUACCGGAGAAUGUUAUCACGGGAGACACACGGCGGGUGCUAACGUCCGUCGUGAAGAGGGAAACAACCCAGACCGCCAGCUAAGGUCCCAAAGUCAUGGUUAAGUGGGAAACGAUGUGGGAAGGCCCAGACAGCCAGGAUGUUGGCUUAGAAGCAGCCAUCAUUUAAAGAAAGCGUAAUAGCUCACUGGUCGAGUCGGCCUGCGCGGAAGAUGUAACGGGGCUAAACCAUGCACCGAAGCUGCGGCAGCGACACUAUGUGUUGUUGGGUAGGGGAGCGUUCUGUAAGCCUGCGAAGGUGUACUGUGAGGUAUGCUGGAGGUAUCAGAAGUGCGAAUGCUGACAUAAGUAACGAUAAAGCGGGUGAAAAGCCCGCUCGCCGGAAGACCAAGGGUUCCUGUCCAACGUUAAUCGGGGCAGGGUGAGUCGACCCCUAAGGCGAGGCCGAAAGGCGUAGUCGAUGGGAAACAGGUUAAUAUUCCUGUACUUGGUGUUACUGCGAAGGGGGGACGGAGAAGGCUAUGUUGGCCGGGCGACGGUUGUCCCGGUUUAAGCGUGUAGGCUGGUUUUCCAGGCAAAUCCGGAAAAUCAAGGCUGAGGCGUGAUGACGAGGCACUACGGUGCUGAAGCAACAAAUGCCCUGCUUCCAGGAAAAGCCUCUAAGCAUCAGGUAACAUCAAAUCGUACCCCAAACCGACACAGGUGGUCAGGUAGAGAAUACCAAGGCGCUUGAGAGAACUCGGGUGAAGGAACUAGGCAAAAUGGUGCCGUAACUUCGGGAGAAGGCACGCUGAUAUGUAGGUGAAGUCCCUUGCGGAUGGAGCUGAAAUCAGUCGAAGAUACCAGCUGGCUGCAACUGUUUAUUAAAAACACAGCACUGUGCAAACACGAAAGUGGACGUAUACGGUGUGACGCCUGCCCGGUGCCGGAAGGUUAAUUGAUGGGGUUAGCGGUAACGCGAAGCUCUUGAUCGAAGCCCCGGUAAACGGCGGCCGUAACUAUAACGGUCCUAAGGUAGCGAAAUUCCUUGUCGGGUAAGUUCCGACCUGCACGAAUGGCGUAAUGAUGGCCAGGCUGUCUCCACCCGAGACUCAGUGAAAUUGAACUCGCUGUGAAGAUGCAGUGUACCCGCGGCAAGACGGAAAGACCCCGUGAACCUUUACUAUAGCUUGACACUGAACAUUGAGCCUUGAUGUGUAGGAUAGGUGGGAGGCUUUGAAGUGUGGACGCCAGUCUGCAUGGAGCCGGCCUUGAAAUACCACCCUUUAAUGUUUGAUGUUCUAACGUUGGCCCCUGAUCGGGGUUGCGGACAGUGUCUGGUGGGUAGUUUGACUGGGGCGGUCUCCUCCUAAAGAGUAACGGAGGAGCACGAAGGUUGGCUAAUCCUGGUCGGACAUCAGGAGGUUAGUGCAAUGGCAUAAGCCAGCUUGACUGCGAGCGUGACGGCGCGAGCAGGUGCGAAAGCAGGUCAUAGUGAUCCGGUGGUUCUGAAUGGAAGGGCCAUCGCUCAACGGAUAAAAGGUACUCCGGGGAUAACAGGCUGAUACCGCCCAAGAGUUCAUAUCGACGGCGGUGUUUGGCACCUCGAUGUCGGCUCAUCACAUCCUGGGGCUGAAGUAGGUCCCAAGGGUAUGGCUGUUCGCCAUUUAAAGUGGUACGCGAGCUGGGUUUAGAACGUCGUGAGACAGUUCGGUCCCUAUCUGCCGUGGGCGCUGGAGAACUGAGGGGGGCUGCUCCUAGUACGAGAGGACCGGAGUGGACGCAUCACUGGUGUUCGGGUUGUCAUGCCAAUGGCACUGCCCGGUAGCUAAAUGCGGAAGAGAUAAGUGCUGAAAGCAUCUAAGCACGAAACUUGCCCCGAGAUGAGUUCUCCCUGACUCCUUGAGAGUCCUGAAGGAACGUUGAAGACGACGACGUUGAUAGGCCGGGUGUGUAAGCGCAGCGAUGCGUUGAGCUAACCGGUACUAAUGAACCGUGAGGCUUAACCUU
Molecule: ribosomal RNA, 2904 nt
Filed under: Escherichia coli
Lineage: Bacteria; Pseudomonadati; Pseudomonadota; Gammaproteobacteria; Enterobacterales; Enterobacteriaceae
Description: 23S ribosomal RNA
Rfam family: Bacterial large subunit ribosomal RNA
Source: RNAcentral